UACCGGGUGGUGUAAUGGGUAACACAUCAGCGUUUGAACCUGAUGUUCUCAGUUCAAAUCCGGGCCUGGUAU
This 72-nucleotide transfer RNA is filed under the name Terrimonas sp. RNAcentral describes it as "tRNA-Gln". It matches the Rfam family "tRNA". Rfam says of the family: Transfer RNA (tRNA) molecules are approximately 80 nucleotides in length. Their secondary structure includes four short double-helical elements and three loops (D, anti-codon, and T loops). Further hydrogen bonds mediate the characteristic L-shaped molecular structure. tRNAs have two regions of fundamental functional importance: the anti-codon, which is responsible for specific mRNA codon recognition, and the 3' end, to which the tRNAs corresponding amino acid is attached (by aminoacyl-tRNA synthetases). tRNAs cope with the degeneracy of the genetic code in two manners: having more than one tRNA (with a specific anti-codon) for a particular amino acid; and 'wobble' base-pairing, i.e. permitting non-standard base-pairing at the 3rd anti-codon position. The record is from RNAcentral. Lineage: Bacteria; Pseudomonadati; Bacteroidota; Chitinophagia; Chitinophagales; Chitinophagaceae.